GCCGAGGACUGGAGCUGUGCACUAUGCCAGGUUAGUGCACCGUCUGAAGCUGGUCUAAAUGAGCAUCUUGGAGGAACAGAGCAUAAGGCGAAGUUGGCACAAUGUAGCGUCAGCAAGGCGACCAAAGAUGACAAAAACUGCUUGCAGACGACCACUGGGAAUGAGAGCAACACAGAUCCUUGUGAUGCACCUAAGAAAAUAUGCAUGCUAGUAGACAGUGCAACAUGUGAAGCUGGUCUAAAUGAGGAUCUUGGAGGAAGAAAACAUAAGGCGAAGUUGGCACAAUGUGGCGUCAGCAAGGCGAUCAAAGAUGACAAAAACUGCUUGCAGACGACCACUGGGAAUGAGAACAACACAGAUCCUUGUGAUGCACCUAAGAAAAUAUGCAUGCUAGUAGAUGGUGAAAUGCAUGAAGUUGUUCGGAAGAACAACUAUCUGUGGUGUGAUCUCUGCAGAGUCAGGUGCGAUAGUAACAGCAUCAUGGCUGGCCAUCUGCGUAGCAAGAAGCACAGUAAAUUAAACAAGGUUUCGACGUCGAUAAAGGCUGUGAGGACAAAUACCGAUACUAAGGAAGGUUUGACUUCUUUUGGAAGUCAGGUAAAUACAAACGGCUCUACUGAAAUUCCAGCGGUAAUUGAAGGCGACAUAAAUAUGACCACCAAAGUAGAUGAAAGUGGCCCUGUAGAAAAUCCAGUCCAGAAAGAAAUCCAUCCGUUGAGCAAGAAGCACAGUAAAUUAAACGAUGGUUGGACAUCGAUAAAGGCUGUGAGGACAAAUACCGAUACUAAGAAAGAAAUCCAUCCGGGGAGCAAGAAGCACAGUAAAUUAAACGAUGGUUGGACAUCGAUAAAGGCUGUGAGGACAAAUACCGAUACUAAGAAAGAAAUCCAUCCGGGGAGCAAGAAGCACAGUAAAUUAAACAAGGUUUCAACAUCGAUAAAGGUUGUGAGGUCUAAUACCGAUACUAAGGAAGGUUUACCUUCUUGUG
RNAcentral lists this long non-coding RNA (988 nucleotides) under Triticum aestivum (bread wheat). RNAcentral describes it as "long non-coding RNA (TAES_LNC016961)". The record is from RNAcentral. Lineage: Eukaryota; Viridiplantae; Streptophyta; Magnoliopsida; Poales; Poaceae.